ACUGGCUGCUUCCCGCCUCCAUCACGUCUUCAAAAUGGAGCAUUCCUGGUUGUCGAUUAUCCAGAACAAUCACGGAGCGGAGGUCUGGGAGUCUGACGGGAAAACAAACACAAAAAAACUGAAUACUAAGUUAAGACCAGUGAUGGGUGGACACCACGCAGCUGUACCUGGCACUCUUGAUGUCUCCCGGGGUGGACGACUCGAUCUCGGGACAUAUCUGCCUCAGCAUGUUGCAGUAUUUCUGAGUCUUAAACUGCUCAGGGCACACUAUAGCCUUACAUCCAACCUGUGAGAAGAGGAGCAGAGGAUUGAAGAUGUGAUACAGACUCUGUGUUUAACAGUGAAAACGGGGACGUAAAGAAGUCGCUCACCUUCCGCAGGGCGAACUCGGCCUCCUGCAGCUGGUACACUGGAUUCACAGACACCUAUUAGAACAGCGGUAAAACCAUAAAAAGAAACUGAAGGUUGAAAGAGUUGAAAUUGGGCCAAAGCCGAAGCAAAGACAGUGUACAUAAAGAACAAAACUGACCAGACUUUGUCCCUGUGAAUGGCAGUUUGCACCAAUAUAAUAAUGUCGGUGAAAGGUGCCCUCACACUCGUUUGUCCUCCACAUUGGUUACAAAUAUUACGUCUCUUUACUACACUUACCUACUGAACUUUGUCUUCAGGUCUUUUCCUCAAGAUGGAUUUAUUAUAUGGCAUUAUAUUGAUUAAUAUGUUAAAGGAUGAAGCUGUAAAUAUUCUAUAUUUUUGUUUUUGUCAACAAAUCCCAUGAAAAGGGCCAAACCAACAGCGUGUUCAGCCCACUGUUUCCUACUGAAGACGUAAAUUAUAUAUGUAAAAUUAUAAAAUAAACUGUUAAAAUAAACAGUUGGAGACUUUAAUAAAACAGGACAUGGGACUGUAUUCAGCGGCAGAUUAAUCCACAUUCGGUGCUGUAGUGAGUAUUUGGGGCGGCAGGACGGUGUAUGUGUGAUUGAGCCAAAUCAAACUACAGUGUGUGUGUUUAACCUAAUGAACAAACAUGUGCAACAGUGUGACUCACUGGUGUGUUUUAAAAUGUUUCUGGACAACAAUAAAGCUCUAUGGCACAGAGGAGUAAGAUAAAUCAGGCUUUAGGUGCAUAAAACCUUUUAGACAAUACAUUCAUUGCUAGUUGUGUUUUUGUGGUGGGAAAAGUAACAUAAAUAUCACCAAAAUAAAUUAAAAUAUAGAUUUAA
Molecule: long non-coding RNA, 1220 nt
Organism: Dicentrarchus labrax (European seabass)
Lineage: Eukaryota; Metazoa; Chordata; Actinopteri; Moronidae
Exons: 2
Source: RefSeq, a predicted model, not a curated record